AACUAAGUUUGUUAUUGGUAUGAGCUUUCGUGUGCAUGCACACUUCUUCAGAUACACUGAAACAGAAGUCACCAGACCCUCUCAUGUGUAAGGCUCUGGUCACUUCUGUUUCACUGUAUCUGAAGAAGUGUGCAUGCACACGAAAGCUCAUACCAAUAACAAACUUAGUUGG
This is a non-coding RNA of Podarcis lilfordi (Lilford's wall lizard), 172 nucleotides long. Lineage: Eukaryota; Metazoa; Chordata; Lepidosauria; Squamata; Lacertidae. The record is from the annotation of a GenBank genome assembly.